This 242-nucleotide unclassified non-coding RNA is filed under the name uncultured fungus. RNAcentral describes it as "sequence contains ITS2". Lineage: Eukaryota; Fungi. The record is from RNAcentral.
AACGCACAUUGCGCCCCCUGGUAUUCCGCGGGGCAUGCCUGUUCGAGCGUCAUUACAACCCUCAAGCCUGGCUUGGUAUUGAGCCCCGCCACUUAUCUGGCGGGCUCUAAAAUCAGUGGCGGUGUCGUCGUGGCCCUGAGCGUAGUAAAUGUCCUCGCUAUAGGGACCCGGCGAUUACUAGCCAUUAACCCCAAUCUUCUAAGUUUGACCUCGGAUCAGGUAGGGAUACCCGCUGAACUUAA